GUUACCAGCACGUUAUGGUGGGCACUCUAAGGAGACUGCCGGUGACAAACCGGAGGAAGGGUGGGAUGACGUCAAGUCAUCAUCGGCCCUUACGGCCGUGGGCUACACACGUGCUACAAUGGUCGGUACAAAGGGUUGCCAAGCCGCGAGGUGGAGCUAAUCCCAUAAAACCGAUCGUAGUCCGGAUCGCAGUCUGCAACUCGACUGCGUGAAGUCGGAAUCGCUAGUAAUCGUGAAUCAGAAUGUCACGGUGAAUACGUUCCCGGGCCUU
This 271-nucleotide ribosomal RNA is filed under the name uncultured Pseudomonas sp. RNAcentral's name for it is "partial 16S ribosomal RNA". It matches the Rfam family "Bacterial small subunit ribosomal RNA", at positions 1114 to 1382 of the family's 1533-position model. The record is from RNAcentral. Lineage: Bacteria; Pseudomonadati; Pseudomonadota; Gammaproteobacteria; Pseudomonadales; Pseudomonadaceae.